Molecule: ribosomal RNA, 234 nt
Filed under: uncultured bacterium
Lineage: Bacteria
Description: partial 16S ribosomal RNA
Rfam family: Bacterial small subunit ribosomal RNA
Source: RNAcentral
UCCGGUAGUUAAAUCGGAGGAAGGUGGGGACGACGUCAAGUCAUCAUGGCCUUUAUGUCCAGGGCUACACACGUGAUACAAUGGCAUAGACAGAGGGCUGCAAUGUGGCAACACGGAGCUAAUCCCUAAACUGUGCCCCAGUUCAGAUUGUGGGCUGAAAUUCGCCCACAUGAAGGUGGAAUCGCUAGUAAUCGCAGAUCAGCAGGCUCGCGGUCGAAUACGUUCCCGGGCCUU